UUUGUUAUUGUGGAUCAUGAAGUCACCAAACGGAGCAAUGGAAUGGCAGCCUUGGAUUAAGCUGGGUGUAUAUUAUUCUAAGUAAAUAAGAUCUUUUGAAAGGAGCGAACCAUUUGUCAUUCCAGUUAGUGCCAAUGAUCUCUUCUGUGCCCAAAGCUCCUAUUUCACCCACUAAGAAUUCCAAGAUUCAAAGUGUAUUCUCUACAUGGGCAGUGGGGCUAAAGUCAUUCUUUGUGUUCAAGUUAUUCUUCAUUUAUAACAACAGGGGACUUUGCUCUCUCUUCAUCGAAAGACAGCUGGAUUUUUGCAAGGGCCUGAUCAUCAACCAAUAAAGAGGCAACAAGCAAGUUUUAA
This is a long non-coding RNA of Candoia aspera, 354 nucleotides long. RefSeq lists it as uncharacterized. The record is from RefSeq and is a predicted model, not a curated record. The transcript has 3 exons. Lineage: Eukaryota; Metazoa; Chordata; Lepidosauria; Squamata; Candoiidae.